Molecule: long non-coding RNA, 785 nt
Filed under: Homo sapiens (human)
Lineage: Eukaryota; Metazoa; Chordata; Mammalia; Primates; Hominidae
Description: HSALNT0284402
Source: RNAcentral
AGAAAAAGCAGGAGAAGAAGGUGGAAGAAGCUGACUUGCUGAGUCUUCCAGCCUUCAUCUUUCUUCUGUGCUGGAUGCUUCCUACUCUUAAACGUAAGAGUCCAAGUUAGUUGGCUUUUGGACUCUUGAACUUAUACUAGUGGCUUGCCAGGGGCUCUCAGACCUUCAGACACAGACUGGAGGCUGCAUUGCUAGCUUCCCUACUUUUGAGAUUCUGGGACUUGGACAUAGCCACUACUGGCUUCCUUGCUGCUCAACUUGCAGACAGCCUAUUAUGGGACGUCACCUUGUUACUGUAAUCUGAAUUUUAAGAAGAAAAUAUUCAUUUCUCACAGACUUUGCAUUCGAUGUACCAGCAGGCACUAUCCAGAUUAAUCAACUAGCUCGUCUGGUCUUGUGGCCCCUCAUCCAGGAACUGACUCAGGUCAAGAGGACAGCUUUAACUCCCUAAGAUUUCAUCUCCAACCUGACCAGUCAGAACUCCCGUCAAACUAUCUUCAAAAAUUCCAGUCCCUGAAUUCUCAGGGAGACUGAUUUGAGUAAUAAUAAAACUUUGGUUUCCUACACAGCUGGCUCUGUGUGAAUUACUCUUUCUUUCUUGCAGCUCCCCUGUCUUAAUAAAUCAGCUCCGUCUAGACAGUGGGCAAGGUGAAUCUGUUGGGUGGUUACAAGACUAUUUAAGUCCUCACUUUAUGUCUUUGAUAGGUUCAUGGAAACAGCUACAUUAAAUGAAACAACGUAUAUAACAAAACCAUUUUCUUCUCUUCAUCAUUAUGUUAUUCAAG